RNAcentral lists this unclassified non-coding RNA (235 nucleotides) under Hevea brasiliensis (rubber tree). The record is from RNAcentral. Lineage: Eukaryota; Viridiplantae; Streptophyta; Magnoliopsida; Malpighiales; Euphorbiaceae.
AGAGAGAGAGAGAGAGAGGUAAAUUCAGAGGAAUUUACGGAGCAUACCUGGAUUGGUUGUGAAACUGGGAGAGAAGGGAAAUGGAGGGAAAGUGGUGGACAGGGUUAAGCCAACGAAAACCCUAAACCCUUCCGGUUGCAGGCAAAUUUGCAAUAAUUGCAGAGAGGAUCCGAUGAAGUCGGGUCAUUAAUUGGUUCGGAUUCAAGCAUUGUUGUUUGUCGUUCGGCUCUAAAGA